This 1245-nucleotide long non-coding RNA is filed under the name Nicotiana benthamiana. Its description in RNAcentral is "long non-coding RNA (NBEN_LNC009391)". Lineage: Eukaryota; Viridiplantae; Streptophyta; Magnoliopsida; Solanales; Solanaceae. The record is from RNAcentral.
ACUGUUCCAAAAUACUUAAACAAAUCAUUGGACAUAUUGCUUUUGAUAUCAAUUUUUUAUUAUCAAUAUAUUUUUAUUGCUAAUUUAUUUUAAUAUUUUAACUUCUUGUUUUCUUUUUUAAGCUCAAUAACAAAAAAUGGAGGGGAUUAUGAACAGAGCCUUGGAGCUAACACCUCACUGUAAAAGAUUGAUAAAAAGAAACAGUCAUAGCAAAGAGACAGACUUCGUAACUGAAAAUCAGCUUAAGUAUUCUCCUAUGAGCCUCAUAUUUGCACUGCAGCCACACACCUGAAAUUAGAAAUCAUAUCUGAAAAGAAUGGACCUUGGGCCUAACUCAACCCCAAAAGCUAGCUUAUGAGGUGAGGAUUGCCCAAACCAUAUAAGGAGACUAAGGACCUCAAAUCCCUCCGAUGUGGGACAAUUCAACACCCCCCUCACGCCUAGAUUUCUGGAGCGCGGACAACACAAAUGGGGGCCCAACAUCGGUAACAAUAAUUGGGAUGGGUCUGGGUCUGAUACCAUGAUAAGAAUGGACCUUGGGCCUAACUCAACCCCAAAAGCUAGCUUAUGAGGUGAGGAUUGCCCAAGCCAUAUAAGGAGACCAAGGACCUCAAAUCCCUCCGAUGUGGGACAACUCAACAAUAUCUUUGCUCAACAUUGUUUUCUAUUAUUUUUUUUAAUAAUUAUCUUUGGUGAGAAUUGUUAGAGGACGAAGAACUGGAAAUGGGUUUUACAUCCGGACCUGCCUUCUUGUUUGCAAGGAUAGGAAGGUUAUACGGCAUAGCCACUAGGAGGAAGCAGGGCUUCAGAUCAAAACCAAGGUGAAGGGAGCAUCGGCUAUAUCCAAUUUCCAGAUAUUUUAGCAGUGACAGUUGGAUUUUGUUUUUAUUUUUAAUGAAAGCAACGCCACAUGGUUUUGUCUCAGGCACAUCAACCAAAAUAUAUUAUCAUUCUUGAGUAACAGAAAAAUAAAGAAACAUAUAUUCAACCAACAAUAUAUUUCUUGUACGUGCAUUGCCCACAAGAAGCCAUCUGAAUCACAAAAUCAAAUUGACCACAGCCAAAUUCAGGGUUCUACCAGUGUGAGGAUUACAGAGGCAAUGGAUUGGUGUAUUUUAGUUGAAAACCACAUAUCAUCAUUCACAAUUUUUUAAUACAUGAAACAGACAAGAAGAGACUGUAUUUAUUCGACAGAAGGUAGGGGUGGCCCCGGUGGACGAAAAGAUGCGGGAAGCGAGGCUGAGG